UUAGUUGGUGGAGUGAUUUGUCUGGUUAAUUCCGAUAACGAACGAGACCUUAACCUGCUAACUAGUACAACUUAUUUCGAUAGGUUGCGACUUCUUAGAGGGACUGUCUGUGUCGAGCAGAAGGAAGUUUGAGGCAAUAACAGGU
Molecule: ribosomal RNA, 145 nt
Filed under: uncultured eukaryote
Lineage: Eukaryota
Description: partial small subunit ribosomal RNA
Rfam family: Eukaryotic small subunit ribosomal RNA
Source: RNAcentral